This 26-nucleotide non-coding RNA is filed under the name Homo sapiens (human). The record is from RNAcentral. Lineage: Eukaryota; Metazoa; Chordata; Mammalia; Primates; Hominidae.
AGGGCCAGCCGAGAGAGUUCAAACGC